UCGUGAGACAGUUCGGUCCCUAUCUGUCGUGGGCGCAGGAAAUUUGAGAGGAGCUGUCCUUAGUACGAGAGGACCGGGAUGGACGUACCGCUGGUGCAUCAGUUGUUCCGCCAGGAGCAUGGCUGAGUAGCUACGUACGGACGGGAUAAGCGCUGAAAGCAUCUAAGCGUGAAGCCCCCCUCAAGAUGAGAUUUCCCAAUUAGUAAGACCCCUUGAAGACGAC
RNAcentral lists this ribosomal RNA (223 nucleotides) under Paenibacillus etheri. RNAcentral describes it as "partial 23S ribosomal RNA". It matches the Rfam family "Bacterial large subunit ribosomal RNA", at positions 2619 to 2848 of the family's 2925-position model. The record is from RNAcentral. Lineage: Bacteria; Bacillati; Bacillota; Bacilli; Caryophanales; Paenibacillaceae.